This is a long non-coding RNA of Monodelphis domestica (gray short-tailed opossum), 2073 nucleotides long. RefSeq lists it as uncharacterized. The record is from RefSeq and is a predicted model, not a curated record. Lineage: Eukaryota; Metazoa; Chordata; Mammalia; Didelphimorphia; Didelphidae.
CUGACAUACUGUGAUGCCGCCGAGUUACAGUCAGCGAGAGUGUUCUAUUUUUAAAAGAACUUCAGAGUUCCCACCAGCUCCUCCACAGAAAAGCAUUUUUACGUAAGAGCGAGCGGAAGAGAACUCGGAGAGAUGGGAGCGGAGGCCAGGCAUUUGUUUUCUCUCUAAGGCCUCUCCCAUCAGGCUUUCUUAAAUUAAUGUACAGCUCCGGCGUCUGAUGGGCCCUGGUCGGGCUGCUGGGUUCUCCUGUGGGGGCGGGGGGGGGGGGGGACAGGGGGAGAGGGGGGAGGAGGAGGAAAUGACUUCAGAGCAUUUCUGCAGCCCAAAGGAACAGCCCAGAUAAAGAACUACACGGGGCAUUUUCUAGAACUUCAGAUCAAAGCCUGGGAGCUAAAAGGGCCUCCCUGGGGGGCCUUGGAGCCCAGCUCCUUCAUUUUACAGAGGAGGACGUCCCCCAGGGAAUGUGUAGCAGAGCCAGAAUUGGAACCUAGGUCCUCUGGCUUCAGAACUGGCCCUCGCUGGCCUGCCAAGCCCAUUUCUUCUUCGCUGCCACCCUCUGAGACAGGUGUCUGCGAGGACUCAGGAGGUGCGGAUACCUGUUGCCUGGGCCAGAGCAGCUGUUUCCUGGCUUCCCUCAGCCUCGUGCCAAUUUAUUUGUGAUUUCUGUGGCUAGUGAUGGACAAGGAUGGAGUAAGGAUAACUGGAGAGUGCAAAGGGCAGAUCUAUGGUCACUGGAAACUCUGCCUAGGUCUCUGGUGGGAAUGAGAGCCCCAGUCCGGCCAGGUUCAAGUGCAGCCAAGUGUUGGGAGGGGGCUCCCACCCUCCCACCUUCCUGCAGCCAUGAACCCAGUGAGCUUCAGAAUUGCCUUAAGGGAAGGAGAUUUUGGCCAAGAGAGACACACGGUCUUGGGUCUGAAGGAUCCUUUUAAAGCCCCCCCAAGACAAUUAACGGUCAGGCCCAGGACCCAGAACCCCAGGAUCUGCCCAAGAAGGCUCCCCCAAUCUCUGGGAGAAGCCCCUGGUCCACAGCCAGGAAGGGGAGGGCUGGGAACCAAAGAGUCCUGGCCCAGAGAAACCCCGCCAAAGGAGAGCCCCCUUAUCUCCUGGCUCCCUGGGAUCCCAUGGCCCUGGCCACUUUGGGAGGGAGGAAUUCCAGUCAAUGCUCCCUGAGAAUUCACUUUAAUGUCUCCUUCCCCACCCCCACAGGGGGUCGCCUUUAUCUCAGAAGGCAAAUGCAGCCCUGUCCCAGGCCCUCCUGCCUUCUCCCCCUCUGCCCUGGAUCUGGCCUUUCUGAAGAAUCCUUGUAAGUGUUGGGACGUCAGCCUCUCCGAGGAGUUCCUGGAAUGUCUAUCCUGAGGCUCAUUCUCCUUGUUAACAAGGGGCCCAGAGGGCCAGAAGCUGGAGGCUGGGGGUGGAAGCUGUGCAGGAGGAUGGACACUUGCCAAAGUCAGCCAGGCUUGGGAAGAAACCAGCCCAAUCCCACUGAAGCCCUCUGUGGCCAGAACUUCCUCCCCAGCCAGGGGUCUGAUCCCUCCCAUCUGUGUGACCUCCAGGCCUCAGUUUCCUUGUCUGUAAAAUAAAGGGUCUAGACUCAGAAAUCCCUAAGGUCCCCGGGAGCCUCUGCUCCUAUGAGCUUUGCUCUUUCCCGGAGUCCUUGAUGGGGAAAGAAGAGGAAGAGGAAGGGCAAGCUGAUGUGGCUCCAGAGUUUCUCCAGGGGAGUUUGGGGACAAUAAUUAAUAAUAGCGUGUGCUUCAAGGUUUGCAGAGCUCUUUACAAAUAUGACUUCAUUAGAUCCUCAUGACAACCCUGGGAAGUAGGUGCCAUUAUCAUUCCCAGUUUAUCGAAUUAUUGAGGAAACUGAGGCAGGUAGCAGUGAAGUCAUUUGCCCAGGCUCCCAGCAGCAUCUAAGCCCAACCAGAGACAGGCUACCUUAUCCCCUAAUGCCAAGGGAAAUGGAAUUUGACCCAAGCCCUGAAGGAUCAACCCAGAAACAGAAUUGGGAAAUAUGGGGAAAUGGAAAUGCUAUAAUCAAUAAAGAAAUACUGGGGCCUGGGGGCAACCCAAGAGGUAAAA